RNAcentral lists this long non-coding RNA (236 nucleotides) under Phoenix dactylifera (date palm). RNAcentral's name for it is "long non-coding RNA (PDAC_LNC002949)". The record is from RNAcentral. Lineage: Eukaryota; Viridiplantae; Streptophyta; Magnoliopsida; Arecales; Arecaceae.
GAGGCGUGAGGGCUGAAUGAGAGUAAUCAUUGAAUUCAAUUGUUGAAUCAAGCCGCCCCUCCUCCUCUUCCUUUUCUUCAGCCGCAAGGAAAGCAAUCUAGAGUUCUCUUCCUUCUUCUUCCUUCUUCCUCCUCUUGGAAGCAAUCAAGAAUUGAUUGCUUAGAGAAGUUUCCAACCUUCAAGAGAGGAUCUCUGCAAGGGAACUAGCACCCCGGUGAGAUCAAGAUGCUUGGAGC